Long non-coding RNA from Grus americana (Whooping crane), 320 nucleotides. RefSeq lists it as uncharacterized. The transcript has 4 exons. The record is from RefSeq and is a predicted model, not a curated record. NCBI's taxonomy places the organism in Eukaryota, Metazoa, Chordata, Aves, Gruiformes, Gruidae.
AAAGCAUUAUUUUCUGUUCUUCUCCCCACUUCCGACGUAUUCUGCGAAAGUUGCUUCUUUUAAAUUCUCCCUUUCCAGAGGCAGAUGCAAGUAAAACACUACUGUUAUUAGACAUCAUGAAAAGGUCACUGGAACCAUAUUUGUAAAUGAAAGAGUGCUACAAGAGAAGCUGGACUCUCAGCCACGGUCUCAGGCAUCAUUAAUUCAAUUGCACAGGUGUAUUGAAUUGAUGUUGGCCACAUCCAUCGUUUGCUGUAAUGACACUUACCAGGCAUUCUCCUGUGAUAUCAUCACAUGAUUCUGCAUGACCAAAGCAUGUA